AAGAAAAGAAAACGUUGUGGAUAUUAGACAAACCUUUUGCUUGGCAAGAUCUUGGCAGCCAGUGAAAUUCUCAGGGAACUUGCAGCUUCCGAAUUGAACAGUGAAUGCUCUCGCAAAGUUUGCUCCACUUGUUGCCAAUCUCUUCUUAUCAUUAAGUUCCUAUAAUCAAAAUUUCAAAAAAUCCAAAACUUUUUAGGAUCUUUAGCAAUGUCAAGAUUGAGGCAUUCAAAGACUUACUUUGUUGGUUUUGCUCCUCUCGAGGUAUUCGUCAAUGACGCCAGCAUUAGCAGAAGCAGAAACAGCAGCAGUGGAGAAGAGUGUAGCUGCUAAGAAAACCAUGGCUGAUCGUCUUCCAUUAGAUCCAUCAACAUCAUCACCAACAACGCGUUGAGCUUUGAUCACAGGCAUAAUCAUCUGUUUCUUCUGACCAAACCCAACUGAUGAAUUCACCAAACCAACUUUCUGGUUAAGCUCUACCGAGCCAGAGCCAGCAAUUGCGUAGCUGCAAGUGAGAACACUCGAGUUCAUGGCCGCCAUUAAAGAUGUCUUUUUCUUUUGUUCUUGAAAAAUUCAAGAGUUUUUUGAGUUUGAUUGGUGAGU
RNAcentral lists this small RNA (600 nucleotides) under Arabidopsis thaliana (thale cress). RNAcentral's name for it is "ATSL305710". The record is from RNAcentral. Lineage: Eukaryota; Viridiplantae; Streptophyta; Magnoliopsida; Brassicales; Brassicaceae.